RNAcentral lists this ribosomal RNA (400 nucleotides) under uncultured bacterium. RNAcentral's name for it is "bacterial SSU rRNA". It matches the Rfam family "Bacterial small subunit ribosomal RNA", at positions 29 to 419 of the family's 1533-position model. The record is from RNAcentral.
AACGAACGCUGGCGGCGCGCCUAAUACAUGCAAGUCGAGCGAGAAGGUGUAGCAAUACACUUGUAAAGCGGCGAACGGGUGAGGAAUACAUGGGUAACCUACCCUCGAGUGGGGAAUAACUAGCCGAAAGGUUAGCUAAUACCGCAUACGAUUCCAGGACUUCGGUCCUGGAAGGAAAGCACUACCGUGGGUAGUGCGCUCCUGGAUGGGCUCAUGUCCUAUCAGCUUGNGGUGAGGUAAAGGCUCACCAAGGCUUCGACGGGUAGCUGGUCUGAGAGGACGAUCAGCCACACUGGCACUGCGACACGGGCCAGACUCCUACGGGAGGCAGCAGUAAGGAAUAUUGCGCAAUGGGCGAAAGCCUGACGCAGCGACGCCGCGUGGGGGAGUGAAGGUCUUC